This 221-nucleotide long non-coding RNA is filed under the name Homo sapiens (human). RNAcentral describes it as "novel transcript, sense intronic NWD1". Lineage: Eukaryota; Metazoa; Chordata; Mammalia; Primates; Hominidae. The record is from RNAcentral.
GAGACCCUGUCUCUAAAAACAAACAAAAAAGCCAGGAGUUUGAGACCAGACGUCUCUACAUAAAAGACAAAAAUUAGCUCGGUGUAGUGGCUCACAUCUGUAGUCCAAGCUACUUGGGAGGCUGUGGUGGUAGGAUCACUUGAGCCCAGGAGGCAGAAGUUGCAGUGAGCUGAGAUUGUGCCACUGCACUCCAGCCUGGACGACAGAACAAGACCCUGUUU